Molecule: long non-coding RNA, 3272 nt
Organism: Callithrix jacchus (white-tufted-ear marmoset)
Lineage: Eukaryota; Metazoa; Chordata; Mammalia; Primates; Cebidae
Source: RefSeq, a predicted model, not a curated record
GAUGGCUCAUCGGAGAAGCUAACCACUGUGUCGAGAGGUUAAGAGCCAUGAUGUGUGGACAGACCCAUGUGAAGAGGAACUGAGAUCUACCAUCAAUUUGUCAGUCAUGUGAGUCAGCCACAUUGGAAUUGGAUCUCCAUCCCCAGUCAAACCUUCUGAUGACUGCAAUCCUGGAUAACAAAUGAUUGCAAUCCUGGAUAACAAAUGACUGCAAUCUCAUGAGAUACUGUGUCAAUGUCUUCAGUGAAAAAAGCAGUUAGUUCUGCUUACAGUCUCAACAAUUGCCAAAGUGCUUUCUCUCAAGACAGCCAUCAUGCUUGGUUUGCAAUGGAAAUAUUUCACAUACCAACAGACAUCUGCUCAUAGAAGUUGAUGCCAGAGAACUCACAGUAUAGAAGUGGAGCCCCCAACAUUUGUAGAAUGCACUGACUGAGUCCUGGAAAAGGAAUUGCAGAUUUACCUAAGAAGACUAAGAAUAGCAAUAUUCUUAUCCGAGUUCUUCUACUUACCGGCCAUGCCUCCAUAGGCAAGUAUUUUACCUGUCUAUACCUUAGUUUCCUCUUCUGUAAAAUGUAGAUAAUUAUAAUCUGUCCCUCAUCUCAUUGUUCCAAGGAUGAAAUACAUUAUAGAAAUACAAUUAACUACACUGUAUUGUUAUAAGCAGCUGGUCUUCAUUUAUUUAUUCAACAGAUAUUUGAGUUAGAUUCAUAUAAACAGCACACUCCUAAGCCUGAGGAUAGUGACAAUGAAGACAAAAUUCCUACUCUUAAGAGCUUCCAUACUCUGUUGGAAAUCUCUAAAACAAAGUGAAAUAUAUUGGAGAAGGGGGACAUUCUUGGAGACCUCAUUUUAGAUAUGAGUGAAUAUAUAUUCUGGGUAGCACUGCUGUAAAUGGUUAGUGGUGAAAGGCUUGGUGUCAGGCAAAUACUUUUAGGCAACUAAAGAGAAUUUGUGUAGUGUCUUUAAUAAGUAGGUAGAAUGUGGGAGUAUUAAUUUAUAUUUGCAAAGUACUUUAGCCUUCAAAUUGCAAUCAUAGCCUUUUGAUAUUUAAGGCAGCAUGAGACGGUGAGAAAUGAACAUGCCUCUGAAUCAGAACAAGAGGCUACAAUCUCAUCUCUAAUAGCAACUGUCGGGUUCCUUAACUGCAUAGUAGGGUUAAUCACAUAAAAAAAAUUAGUAACACCCCCCCCACACACUAUUUCACAGAGUCGCUGUGUAGAUGAGAUGAUACACUAUGAACAGGAGAGCAUGCAUUUCUUCAGCAAAUAUUUAGCCAAGCAUAUAAGGUAUGCUGGGCUUUGCUGCACUGCUUGAGGCCCUGUCCUUAUGCAUUUACAUCUUAAUGAUGGGAGCAGACACUAAAAGAGCAGCAAAUAAUUGAGAUAAUUUUCACUUACAGUAUGCGCUUUACAUAUACAUAUAUGCAUGGUGUUGUAGAGAAAUUCUCCCUUACAAGAGAGUUCAGGGAAUGUCUCUUGGGAGGAAGAAACUGGAGCUGAGAAGGGGCUUGGGGCAGAGCUGGAAGCAAAGUGCUGGAUGGAGUAAAGAGUGUAUAAAGAACAGAAAGCAGAAUAAGCUGUAGUGUGCAAAGGAAAAGAAGACAAGCAACUGGAACAAGGCACGUUAGGUAAGGAUAGCCUGAGACAUAAGAAAAGGCCCAGACAUAAGAAAAGCUCAAGGUUUGUAGGGCUUUGAAAGCCAUGGGGAGGAGUUUGCAUUUUAUGUUAAGGAAGGGGGACCCCAAUUGAAGGUUUUAAGCAAGAGAAUACAUAAUCAACUUCCUGUUUAAAAUUAUAAUUAAAUACUGUGAAGGCAAGUGAGAAUGUGUUUCUGCUGGAAAUGCCAACACGGACAGGUGGAGGGGAAGGCAGAGAGAGGAUGUCAUAUGGGUCUGUUUCCAUCUCAUUACUUUCACGGUCUUCUGUCUGGAGGUGAAACAGGGACAUUUGCAUCUGCUUGAUCUCAAUAGGUAAAUACUGUUACUCUUGUCACCUGCCUCACAGUGCCUGGCUCUUUGUCCUUGGUACAGUCAGGCCUCUCUGGGGCCUGUGAUGACAAUGUCAGUAUUUCCCCCAGUGGGAAAAUAAAAUUGACCCUGGAGUAUUAUUGAUGAGGUUCAGCGAUCUGCUUCUCAGAGAUAAAAAGCUUUCCACACAUUCUAUGACUAACAAUCUAAACACUCUUUAACAGUCAUUGUAGUCUGUUGAUUGUGGGUGUCAAAUGGGGACACACUACAGAUGUGUCUUUGCUUUCUGUCUCAGAACUGCUUUGUAACCAGACUGGAUGGAACAUCCCAGAAAUGACAAGGGUCUUAUGGACCCGCUUCAAGGUUUUUAGAGUAAAUUUACUGCUUUCUGCCCUUGACUGGGGAAUGGACCUCUCCUCUACGAGAAAGUCAUCUUAAGUAAAGGCUACCACAUCUACAGCAAGGAUGGAGGAAGAGGCUGCCUGCUCCAUUAACUAAAUCAAUAGGGUUAGUGAUAGGUAUUGGAGGAAGACCACCUGCACAGCCAAAUGGUAAAAAAUUUCUGAAGUUGGAGUUCAAUCCAAUAGUGAUCAUGAGUACAUGAAAGUAGGUUUUACAUUUUCACAAGGUUCAAAUAGAAGCUAUUAUCAAGUAAAAGUAACAGGAAGCGUAAUAGCUGUUGGUAUUUUUUUCCCAGAGACCUCAACACUUUAUGUGGAUUCCUGCUGGGUUAAGAGGCUUUAGAUCAUUCUUGCUAGUGAACAACACGUGGGUGAAACCAUACCACCCUUCCAGUUUUAUGCAUGACUGAGUGUUGACCUUUAUCAUUGCCAGAGUCUCCUGAGAAGUGCUUGCUUAUAACUUCAGUUGUGCAGCUUUUUACAUGGAUAAGCCAUAGAGUCAUAUACUUAAGAAGCUAAAUAUUUGUAAACAUUCAUUGAUUUAACAAAUUUUCAGUUAAUAGGUGCUGUGUGUCAGGCAUUGCUGACUGGGUAAACAUGUUUGAACAAAAGAGGCAAAGCCUAUGUCCUCAUGCAUACAUAUAGAUGCAGGCACGUGCAGAAUUUAGAAUUUUCCAUUUCUAACUAAGGUAUCAUGAAGAGCAAUUUAGUCUACCUUAUCAUUAUACAGAUGGGGAUAAGGAAGGAGACUCAAGCAUCUAAGAUCACUUCCCCCUUGACUUCCGCACUGCAUUUCAAUAGAAGAAAAGGCUGGCUGACUGGCACAUCCUAAAUCACCUUCCUAUAAAUGGCAGGCAUGGUAUGGGGGAAUCUCUCCAGAAGGCAUCGUUUUUACUUAAACAAGA